GAUGAACGCUGGCGGCGUGCCUAAUACAUGCAAGUCGAGCGAACAGACGAGAAGCUUGCUCCUCUGAUGUUAGCGGCGGACGGGUGAGUAACACGUGGAUAACCUACCUAUAAGACUGGGAUAACUUCGGGAAACCGGAGCUAAUACCGGAUAAUAUAUUGAACCGCAUGGUUCAAUAGUGAAAGACGGUUUUGCUGUCACUUAUAGAUGGAUCCGCGCUGCAUUAGCUAGUUGGUAAGGUAACGGCUUACCAAGGCAACGAUGCGUAGCCGACCUGAGAGGGUGAUCGGCCACACUGGAACUGAGACACGGUCCAGACUCCUACGGGAGGCAGCAGUAGGGAAUCUUCCGCAAUGGGCGAAAGCCUGACGGAGCAACGCCGCGUGAGUGAUGAAGGUCUUCGGAUCGUAAAACUCUGUUAUUAGGGAAGAACAAAUGUGUAAGUAACUAUGCACGUCUUGACGGUACCUAAUCAGAAAGCCACGGCUAACUACGUG
Molecule: ribosomal RNA, 497 nt
Filed under: uncultured bacterium
Lineage: Bacteria
Description: partial 16S ribosomal RNA
Rfam family: Bacterial small subunit ribosomal RNA
Source: RNAcentral